CCGGGAGGCUGGUAGUUCGCCAAGACAGGUUUCUGUUUCGCCCCGCGAGCACGUGUCCCGCAGGAGGAUGAGUGACCCACAGCCCACCAAGUGACCGCGCGAAGCUGCACGCUGAAUGAUUCCUCCAUGGAAAACGCGUUAGUCUCCGCCCUGCCAGAGGCACAGGCCAACAUUGUGAAGCCCAGAGGGCCUGUUGCCUGGUGCUGAGUGGGAGCUCGGUAAAUACUUGUGGAGUUCAUGAAUGAAAAUCGAAGCAGUCCGCCAGCCUCUCCACUUCUCAGUCCUUCCUGGAAUUAAACAAAUAUUCAUAGAGCGCUUUCUUGUGUGCCAGACAACCUUCUAACAACGUCAGAGGCAAAUGCUGAUACCAGGUAAUAAAACAGAGAAGAGGGAGCCGUAUCUCUAGGUGACUCUGAGAGCAGGUCCAAGCACACGCCGUGAACCACUGUGACCAGCCAUGGAGGGAAGGACAGCAUUCCAGACAAAGGGAACAGUGGUGCCAGAUUCCACCUUAGCCAAAGAAAAGGAAGCUGGUAGCUGCAUUGGUGAGAAGGCCAAAUCAAGCAAAUACUUCACUCCCCUUCCUGGUUCUACAUAUUUGACACAUGCUCUAGAAGGCACAGGCAAAAACCCAGCUUUCCAAGGUAGAUAAAGACACCAAUGAGACUGCCUGUUUUUGGCCAGGCAGGUGAGAAAAACAUGUGGAGGAUUUCACCAUGCCCACCAGCGACCUGCAUCUGACUGUCCCUAGGGCCCCUGUCCUGGGGCACCCACAGCAAAGAUGCUGCCACUUUGCUCUCUUGCACUCUCUUCAUGGUAACAGGGGCAUGAUUCUUUGACCUAUGGGUUAGCAGUUAAGUUGGAGUGCGCCUUUGAAAUGCACCAAAAAGGAGAAGCUGAGAAGCAGCAUGCAAAGGGGGAGAGGCCACCAGCAGCAGCAGGCCCAUUCUAGCUCUACUGGUGAGUUGUGAGAAGGGAAUGGGAAUGGCCUGGGGUCCCAGAGCACAGAACCAAGGCCUGUGGGUGUCACAUGGAGGCAGAGGCUGCUGGACAUGAGGAAGGCAUCCUUUCAUAUAGAGGGAGCUAUCUCUGAGGGCUCCUCAUUCCUUGGAGACCUUAAGUGAUGUUUUAAGUCUUCUGCUGUUGCUGUAACUGAAUGCCAUAAGCUAGGUAAUUUCUAGAGAAUAAAACUUUAUUAGGCGUGCA
Cavia porcellus (domestic guinea pig) is the source of this 1206-nucleotide long non-coding RNA. RefSeq lists it as uncharacterized. The transcript is spliced from 2 exons. NCBI's taxonomy places the organism in Eukaryota, Metazoa, Chordata, Mammalia, Rodentia, Caviidae. The record is from RefSeq and is a predicted model, not a curated record.